UAGAUAAACAUCUCUCAUGCUUCAAAGAUACAGCACCUCAAAGCUUCAAAUGAUCCUUUAUGUGAGCUCACAUUUCACAUAGAUGGAAAAUUUCUGGAGGUUAGCAAAGUUACAGCAAGCAUACCAAGACGAGAUCUAUGGUAAGAUUUUCUUCAUAUAUAUCAGUUUUUUAAGCUACAACUCCAAAUCAUUACUAUGUUUUCUGUUUUAUCGGAUGAAAAUCACGAAUAUUUUUUAAGCAAACAUCUCUCUCUCUAUAACCCAUACACCCCUCCAAUCUUUCCUAUAUACAAAUGAAUCUGAUAGUUCAUUAUUUUUUUUACUUUUUCUGCAAUUUCGAUUUAUUGUGAUUUAAUUUAAUUUUUUAUUUAUUAGUAAUUAGGAUUUACCAAUUUAAUUAAUGCGUGUAAUUAGGAUAUAUAUAUAUAUAUAUAUAUAUAUAAUUUAUUUUCAUUUUGUUGUAAAAAAUAAUACGGAGUAAUAAUAUUUUAUUUCAAAAUAUUACCUUUAAUAAAAUUAUAUACUUAUUUGUGAAAAGUGAUAUAUAGAUUAGCCAUAAAUCUUUAGGAUAGAAUUACAUAAAAAUAAAAAUAAAAUUAUAGUAUAUUUUUUAUAUAUAUAAUUAGAACUAUGGGUUGGAUCUAGAUCGAGUCUGGAUCUCAUAACUCCUACUUCAUAUCUAGGUUCAAAAAUUUUAAGAAUAGUCCAAAUUCAGUUUAAAUUUAUCGAAUCUGAUUUUUGCAAGGUCCAAAUCCAAAAAAAUAGAAUCUGGUUCAAUAUUCACUAUCAUCCCUAAUAAGAGAACUAUGGGAUAUUGAGUUGGAUGAAAAUAUUUUAUGUGAAAAAUUAGUUUAAAUUUAUUAUUAUUAUUAUUAUUAUUAUUAUUAUUAUUAGAAGCUAUGUCUAAAAUGACCUCACCGAAAUAAUCGGCAACCCGUUUGAUCUUCUGUUUUCUUUUUGGGCUAUUUCCUUAUUCGUCUUUUGUUAUUUAUAAUUAGAUGGGCUCAAACUUAUGAGAGUCCAAGCUCAGCCCAAUAUUCUUCUUUUGCUGUUUUUAAUUGAAUGGGCUCGAAUUACUGAGGGCCCAAGAUCAAGCCCAAUAAUCUCAUCCUACCCAAAAUAUAACCCAAUUUAUGACCUAGAACUUAUGCUAGCGGUGGCAGGCCAAAUGGGAUCCUCUGUACCAAAAUAUAGUGUAUACCACGUGUACCACUUUUCAUUUUUUUAUAUUUUAAAAUUAUUUUUUAUUCAAUUUUAAUUUAUUAUGCUUUUAUAUAAUAUAAAGAUAAUUAACAAGGGUUCACUCAUCCAUUUAGGGUUUAUAAUUAUUUUUUUUAUAUUUAUUUGAAUUAAUAAUAGAAUAUUUGGGUUCAUUUAAUUCAAAGUUAGGGUAUAUAAUUUUUUAAAUUUAUUAUUUGAUGUGAAAAAUUAGUUUAAAUUUAUUAUUGUUAUUAUUAAAUUAGAAGCUAUGUCUAAAAUGACCUCACCGAAAUAAUCGGCAACCCUUUUGAUCUUUUGUUUUCUUUUCGGCCUAUUUCCUUCUUCGUCUUUUGUUAUUUAUAAUUAGAUGGGCUCAAACUAAUGAGAAUCCAAGCUCAGCCCAAUAUUCUUCUUUUGCUGUUUUUAAUUGAUGGGCUCGAAUUAAUGAGGGCCCAAGCCCAAUAAUCUCAGCCUACCCAAAUAGUUAGACCGGGGAAAUAUAACCCAAUUUAUGACCUAGAACUUAUGCUGGCGGUGGCAGGCGGGUUUGUAAUGAACUCGAGCUAAGUAAUAAUUUUAUUACGUAAAUUUUUGCUUCUCAUACAACUUGCACUUAUAUGCUUCAUUUUAUUUAAGAUGAUACGUUUAUCUACUAAAAUAAUGCAUUCACAAUAAUCUUUAUAAUCGUAUAAUUGAAAAUACUGAUCGUUGGACGUCCAAGGUCCAACCAAUCUCACUGAAUUUGAACGCCCAAACGAUGAGUAAUUUUGGCGUCCAAAGGUCCAACCAACAAAAAUAAAACAUGCAAAUUAACCUAAUGACCUAACAAAAUAUGAGUUCCAUUUUCCCAUUGAAUUUGGCCUAUAUUUUAGGUCAAUUAAAAUGGGUCGAAUGGAUUUAUUGUAAAUUAAGUAAAUACCAAAAAUGAAAAACUCUUAAUUCAUGAAUAGAAUCCAUCUACUUAGCUCAUCUUCCAAUUCUCUCAAAGUAGGCCUUUCCUCCACUGCUCCGCCACUCUCCUCAUCAUCAACAGCUCCAGACACCGAAUCUCCCCCAUUUUCCGACGCCCUCCGCCACGGAAGAAGUUGGAGCAGCACCGCUUUCGCGCGGGGAAGAACGCCUGCGCCGCCGCGCAUGAAGCCGGAAAGCGCGCGGUUCCCAUCUACGUGGUGCUCGUAAACUAGUAAGGGAAAACUCGUCUCCAAACAGCAGCCCGAAAUCCUAAUUACAUUUCCGCCGCGUAUAGAGCGACGGAUCACCUCGUCGAUGAACUGCUCGAUUUUCGAUUCCGGCACCAGCGACGGAAUCUUCAUCACGGCGGCCUCUCGACUAUUCUCGAAGGUUCCGCGGUAGAAUUCCCCCCGCUCGCUGUAAUUGUUAGUGGCGUUCUCCAUUUCCUGAGCUGCGUAUAUUUUGAGGUGCGCAGAUCCCUCGCGCUUGGAUAGCUUCUUCUUCAAUAUGUUUCCGCCAUUUCUGUCGAACAAGCUCAUUCUGUGGCGCUCGAGCUUCCUUCUCUGAUGCGACCAAACGAUCCAAGUGCUCGCGAAGAGGGGCGGGAGCACCAACACCCCCAAUAAGUAGGGGAUUUUAGAGUCGAUGUAGAUUCCAUGGCCGCUCCGCAAGGCGGAGGUAGUUUCGGUGAGGGAGGAAGAGAGGGUGAGAAAGAAAAUCAGCAACUUGAGAAGCUUCGAAUUGUGGAGAGAGAUUUUGAGAGACAUCGUGGAAGGUGGUGAAAAUCAGCGUUCUCGGCUUUCGUUUUGAUGCCUCUCUUUGCAAUUUACACUCUGAUGUACUGAAUCGUUGGUCUGGCGGUUUGCUUAUUUUGGUGGUAGUUUGAAUUGAAUAUUGGUUGAUGAUUUUCUGAAACUCGUAUAUGGGUUUAAUGUGUGCUUUUCUAGUCAACGAACAGGAAAUUUCUAUCUUACCUUUAUGGGAAUUCUCUUAUUCAACUUUUUGCAUGUGUUUGUUUGCCACAAUUCUAAGUUUCUCUGGUGAUUAAUCAGUAUUUUGUUUCUGUCUAGGUAGAUUGAUUAGUCUUGUAGAACUUAGAAGAAGGCCUGAAUGGAAAGCAAAAUCUGCGGAUCCAUAAAAUCUGUUGUGAACCUUCAAAUUCGAUGCAAUAAUCAUUUUGUUGUGAACCUUCAAAUUCGAUGUGGAGUCCAUAAAAUCUGUAGUUCUCCUGGAGCGGAUCCUGUAUAGAAUCCAGAAAUUUUCAGACAUGUAGAUGUUUAAUUCUAAUUGUUAAGAUGCAUAUGGACAUUUAUACGUUUUAGAGGUUGCAUGAAAACUACACUAGUUAUUGAGUUUUCCAAUUUAUCUCCUAAUAAUUUAUAUAAUGUGCUUAUGUGUUUGGCUUCAGUUUCUGAACUUUGUGUCUGACGAAACUAUUUACAUUUGGUUUUCUAGAUUGCAGUUGCUCUUGCUGUUGCAGCCAUCCCUGAAGGGCUACCUGCUGUUGUUACAACGUUAGUUCUUUAUUCUGUUUUACAUAACAUGUCAUAUGUACAUCAGCAUUCUCAUACCGUUUUUCUCGGAAAAGACCUGGCAAAUGUGGCAAGGGAUUGGCUUUGAUAAUGAGUUGUUGGACAAAUCACUGAGCAACUUAUUGGAAGACCUCUGAAUCUGUUUGUCACAUGCUCUGUACGAUUUGCUAUAGUAUCUGUCAUGGAUUUGUGAGAACUUUUAGCAGGCACUCCCUGUUAGCUCUAUUUCAGAGUAUAGUUAUUGUUUGCCUUCUAAUUGGCUACCUUUGUUCGGGUAAUAGUAAUCAGUUUCUUUUGUCUGUAUUCUAUUCCCUCGUAUUGUCCUAGAUACAACAAUUCCAAGUUUAAAUAUGCUUGACCUGUUCUAGCAUCCUUGAGAAUACAUUUUGCUCAAAGUAUAAGGUGUAGGCAUAGGUCCUACUGCAAGUAUUUUUGAUUGAAUAUAUUUUCGGUAGAGGAUUAUUUAGUAUGUUCUAUAGUAGGUAAUAAACAACUAUUAAAAAGGCUUGCAAGAAAGAUCACUUUUUGGCUCAUGAAGGUUGGCUAUGGGUUUACUAGGUUAUUGUCUUAGGUAGGCCAGAUAAGGAUGCUUAUUCAGUCUCUUACUUUCACCCAGCAGUGUUGAUAUACUUGCAGAUAAAGAGAAACUUACUUUCACCUCUGUUUUUUGAGGAAAUGCUGAUUGUUUCAAAUCCAUGCUUAAGAAGCAGCUUAGCUUUCUGCCUUACACAUCUUAAUUUCUCUGAGUGUCAGCAGGUGUCUAGCUCUUGGAACGAAACGAAUGGCUCGUUUAAAUGCUAUAGUUAGGGCGUUGCCAUCAGUAGAGACCUUAGGCUGUACAACAGUGAUUUGCAGUGACAAGACUGGUACUCUGACUACUAAUAUGAUGUUUGUCUCGAAGGUAUCAAUUUACACACAAUAAUCCUUCGUUCUUCUUUUACUUCUUUUAUUUUCCUCUGGGUUAUACUUUUUUUAAGGUUGAGAAGGGGGAAUAUAUGCUUUGGAAUGUUUCUCCUUUAUUAGCUUUGUCAGAAGCUCUGAUAAAUUUCUCUACACUUCUUACAUUUUAGCACUUAUGGUUUCACGUAAUGCUAGACUAAUUAAUUUUUUGUAUUUUUCCCCAUCAAGCUUCAAUUAUUCUGCCCAUGUGUUUAAGUGUGCAUAUACUUAUUUACACCAAUAUGUUAUUAUGUACUGCAUAUUUUCUUACAACUACUUUCACUGUAAAAGUUGAUUAAAAUGGCAUUGCUACUUUGAAUCACUAGGAAUUCCCCAUUUUUUGUGAGGACCAUUGUGAUGUUUAUAUCGAAAGUGGCAGACUGUGUCAGCCUUCCUAAAGAACUAAUAUUAAGUAUAACAUCUGCUUUCUCUUUGCAGGUAUCUGUGCUCCAUUCUGCAAAUCAUGUUCCUGUUGUAUUAAUACAUGUAAGUGGCACCACAUAUGCUCCAGAAGGUACUAUCUCCGACAGCACUACAGAGCUACAGGUAGUGUUCUAUUCAUGACAUUAGGUUUGUAUUUAUUGAUUGAUUAUAAGUUUAACACUAGACCAGUUUUCGAAAUAUCAAUAGUUAGUGCAAUGGAUUUUGUACCAGCAUUAUUUAUCUUGAAAAAAUCAUGUUUUCUUAUCAACUUAUAUUUAGUUUCAUAUCUUCUACAAUGUAUUGAUGUUUCUGACUGCUGUCUAAAAUUUGUCUACUUUGUACUUUGUUAUUCCAUAUGGUCACAGAUUCUUCUUCUCCCCUUGCUUGCUUACCAAUCCAACUACAAUUUUUUUUUUGAGAACCACCAUCUACCAAAAAUUUAUUAAAGGAUAUAUGCACCUUUUUCCUGAUUAUUUUGGCUUAUUAUCUUUCAUAUACUCUUUCGAAGGACCCUGUUUUCCCCUCUUUAUAGCUCAUCCAAUCUCCCUAGGCUCUGUCUAGGUUCCAGGUGGCCUUUUACCGUUCCUGCUUUUCCAAAUUCACCUUGCUCAGCCCUGCUGGACAGCUGGCUCCUUUUAGAAUAUUGAGCUUCUACUAUUUUUACAUGAUUCUUACUUGUCUAUUUUUAUUUUGGGUUUAUUAUAGUCAUAUAUUGACAACUUUUAUGUUUGUUAUUUGUAUUAUUUGUUGUAGUUAUUCUUAAUGUAAGAUUUAUCUGGGACCUAAUGCAGCUUGGGCUUCCAGCUAAUUUUCACUGUCUUCUACACACAGCAAUGUGCUCUGCCCUUUGCAAUGAAUCUAUUAAUCAGAGGCAUGUCUGACUGAAACAUAAGGAAGUUUGGACAACCAUCUGGUUGCACCAUUUCGUUAGUGGGUAUAAUUUCCAACUAUUUAGAUAUGGAACCUGUUGUCCAAUUACCACUUGUGAUAUCCUCACCAGUCUAUGGCAGGCAGUAUUAUAGCUAAAGUCAAUGAUGUUGUUGGUUUGAGGAAUUCAACCACAUGCUUAUUUAUGGAAUGAGGAAUGAGUCUUUCAUAUGUGGCUAUUUUUUUCAAACUGCCACUAAUGUUGUACUUAAAUACUAGCUUCUUGCAAUUUUUCCAUAGAAUUCUGUCAUAUGUAGUACCACAUUCGCUAAAAUGAUCCAGGGAAAAUGCAUAACAUGGAAUAUGACCACCUUCACCCUACAGGGAAUGUAUUGUUAUAGUUUCGGAGGUUUUUCUCUUGUCCUUGUACCAGUUAAUCCAUCUAGCUAAGUGACUGUCACUAUACUGAAUUUCAUGUAGCCUCUGCCUUUUUAAUGAAAUUUCACUGUCACAUCUUUUUUACUGUAUUUAUAUGGUUGAGUAGCUUUCUCAUCUUCUUGUCCUCAAGGAGGCCGAGAAAGAAAAAAAAAUGAAAGAAAAUGAAAUAGUUGUGUGAAAAUACUUGUAGAAAAUAUUAAAUCGGAAGAUGAGUUAAUUUUCUUUAAAUAUUGUAUUUUGUUGAAGCUUGUACUUCCAUGUUAGAUAACUUCUGAUCGUAUCUAUCAGAAAAAACUGCAAAUGACCUAUUAAGCAACUUGGCCUCGUACCUAAUGGACCAAAGAUUCGUGGGCUCGAUAAUUCCUUGGUUACAGCAGGCAAGUUCUUUUGGUUGCACUAUUUAUAACUAUAUGAAAUCAUCCAUAUCCGUAACAAAUGAUUAGCAUGUUAUCUAAAUGAUCACUCUGUUUUCAUCAGCUUGUGGAUCUCAGUAACAUCCACGGACCAACCUACCUGGUGCUCUCCUCGAAGACGAAACAAGAAUUCUUAUAUGGAGUCCAGGAGGCUGCCAAAUUGGAGAUAUUCAAUCCUGCAGAGAGAAGAUGCCUUACUGAAAUAGGCAAAAUGUUGUGCCAGUUUUGGGGUUAAGACAUUUUUACAUGUUUGAAUCUCUUAAGUGGAGUUCAUUUCUGUAUUGUAAUUCAAAUCAGAAAUCUUGCACAUUAUUUGAUGUGAAGGCUGGGAUCUGAUUAGUAAUAGGUCGUGUUGAAGUUGUAUAAACAAAUCUAUUGCUCCAGUUUGUGCAAAGUAUGAAGUUGUGCCUCAAGAUUUAGGGGUCAAAAUUUCACAAUCUGACUGGUUAUAAGCAUGACAAAGCUCAAACAGAUAUAAAGCAUUUGGUGAAAUAAGUCAUUUAUAAUCGGGUGUCAAAAUGCUUUUCUUGGAUACAUAAACACUUGCUUACUUUUCCAUUGAUAAGAAGAGCUACAAUGUUUAUGACUUGUGAAAAAUUAGGACAGAAUGGUACAGACUUAAUCUUCAAAAAAAGAACCUGUUUGCAUACACUUUCUUAACUGCAGGUUUCAACAAUCAAAUCUUAGAGAAGAGGCAAUAGAGGCUUUACUCCUUUGAAGGCUCAUUAGGUUGUUGAUUCUUUAUAGGGCGCGUCUUCUCUUUCGCUCUGACUUCUGAGUUGGUUUCUUAACCCUCUGUUGGGAUUCUGAGGCGCAUUUUUUGAGACUUCGUAAAGGGUUAUACUACCACUACUUUCUAUUGGGCUGAAUUCUUGUGUGACGAGGGGUUCGAGUAUCUCAAUGACUUGACUCAUGAGGGGUCUUCCUUUUGGGUUCUGACUGAGACAUUGAAAUGCCAGAUUGGCCACUUUCAUAAGAAUCUUGGUGGAGUACUGCCCCUCGAUUCUAGGAUCCAGUAUUCUCGAAAGCUUCUUGCUAUGGUUGAGGAGUGGACGUGCCCACUCCACAAGAUUAUGUUCUCGGCUUGGCCUGCUCUUGUCCAUCGCACGUCUUCCUAUAAGCAUCUCAAGCAGAACAACUCCAAACCCAUAGACAUCGCUUCUUGCUGUCAAAUGUCCUGAACAAUGUACAAAUGGAUGAUCAUUCAAUCACUAGUCAUAAACAAUGCAUUUAAAGAUGGUAAUAAGAGAUUUAGCCACAACUCGUCUAAGACUUAUAUCAAAGAGCAACCUACGCGUAAAUGGUAACAUCAGAUGUAGCGUUCAUAUCACGUCUGCCAUCACAAGACUCACCAGUCAUGACAUACUCAGGAGCAGCGUAACCAUAGGUGCCCAUAACCCGGGUUGAGACAUGAGUUUGAUCUCCCGUUGGCCCAACCCUUGCCAGCCCAAAAUUAGAAAGCUUUGCGUUGAAAUCCUGUGCUCGUUAUACACUUUAGCCACUGAAUGAUCGAUGGAGAUGACAAAAUUUUGCAUAACCAGAAGACAUUGUGAAAUCUAUGGGAUUCAUCAGUAGAAUUCCAUCCAAAUAUGUAACUCAUUUAUAAGACCUCAUUUGUACUAGUAAACACAUCUACUAACCUCAUCUAGCAAAAUGUUUGAAGUCUUAAAAUCCCUGUAAAUGAUAGUUUUUUCAACACCAUGAAGAAAAGCAAGCCCUCUCGCAGUAUCCAAAGCAAUCUUUAGUCUUCUAUGCCAUGUUAAUGUGGCUCGUACCCCUACAAGCAAAAACCACAGAAAAACUGUAAGGAGACUAACUAGGCUAAACCAGGUGGGAUAAAGAGCGCACACAGUCCAUCACACGUCUCUUUUAGUUUGAUGGUGCACUGUAAUAGCUAAUAUCUCCUUUAAUUUUUCAAAAACUAUGUUGGCAUCACAUAUAAUACAACCUCCAAUUUCAAAAUGAAUGUUCUUAUAAGCAACUUCGUUUUAGAUGGUUAUUGAAACCUCAGUUUUCCAUAUCAGGUGAUUGCUACACGAGUAAAUGAGUGAAAGAAUGCAAGUCACUCUCAGCUGAAACAAUUUCCCACUACUACCACUUACUAAAGAAAAGGUGUUUCUCGAGGCUCCCAGAUGCCAUAUAUUCAUAGACCAAAAGCCUAUGGUCAUCCUCGCAGCUGUAGCCAAUAAGUUUCACCAAAUUAGGAUGUCGGAGUUGGCCUAAAUAGUUUACUUCUGCCUGCAAAGGACAACUUACACAUUCAGCGAUAACUACCUUCUCUACAUUUAAUGAAUUAGAAAAAAGUUUCACUGAAUAGAUUUUUUAGAUUCGAGGCAGCAAAAGCAGUAGAGAUGGGUGCAGCCAUCCAGUCACUUAUUUGUCUAGAAAUUGAAAUAUUGUUCUGAUAAAAUUUCAAUUGCUGCUCUUCCGAUCCCAAUCAACAGCAGCUAAUUCUCAACCAAACAUAAUACAAGGACCAGGCUGCACUCCACAGAUACACGAUGGCUUAUCCCAUUUCAUACUUACUUUAUAAAACUAAUAAAAAGUAGAAUAUGGGAAAUUAAGUUUUCUGGUAAGUUAAUAUAUAUAAUGAAUAAUGGGAUUUGGCUUUCUAACCAUCAGAAUAAUAAACAAUAACUACCUGUGUUAUGCGUAUAUUAAAAAAAUAAAAGUAUUAAGCAUCCUACGGCGGAUAUCGGUGAAAAUCUCAUUUCAAUCAUUCUUCUUCUAAAGGCUGCGCCUAUACAUAUAUGAGGUUUGGGCUACAGAAAUACAGAAUUAAUCAAACCCACGCAAACAAAGAAGCGAGAUGGCGAUGGCUAGGCGAAGGGCGGUGAUGCUGUUCUCUGAGACAAAUUAUCGAACAUGUGGCGUUCGUCUGAAACGCAAGCCACCGAGCAUGACGUUCUAGCACCAGUCUCUGCAAGCGCAACCAUGACUAGGCAGAAGACAACGCCUAGCUCUCCUAUCUAUCUGCAAUUUUCAUUUUACUAUCAAUUUAAACACUAACACAUAUCAUACAUACAUGAUAUAUAUAGCAGGUUCUUGAUAAGAGUUUGAAGAUCAGUAUCUUUCACCAGCGAGAUAGAGGCGUAUUCCUCGACCCUCGUCAGCUUUUUCAGCUCUCGAACGAGUCGACUCUGUGAAGCUCUCCAAAGGCAAAUCGACGUGCAUGCUGACUUAAGUUAGCAUCUUCGAAGUUGACAAUAAACCCACUGAAUCAUACCUCCUCCUCGUUUGUUACAUCGAUGAUUUGUGAUGUUUCGUUGUCCAGCGGGAGGAGGACACCAAUAAAGGGAAACAAUUGAACAAUCGAUAAAUGAGGAAAAAAAAGGGAAAAUCGAAGGAGAAGGAGUGAUUUAUGUGAUGAGAAACCGAGGAGGGAGAAAUGAGGGGAAAUUUGAGCAAAAAAGUAAAUAAAUUGCCUACUUUUGGAGGGAUUUUUUUUCGUUUAGGCGGGAAGUGAUUUCCUUGGGGGGAAACAAAAUUUUUCAUGUCAUAUUAAUUUAUGGGGUCCAACCAUAAUUUAAAAGAGAUAUGUUUUAUAGCUCCAACUUAAAAACAACUCUUUUGUAUAUCAAAAUGAGUUAAAUGACUAAAACACCCUCAUAUUAUAUCAUUAAAAAAAAGGGAAUCAAGAUUUUCGUCCAAGUCAAGGAUGUGAAGAAGAUUUUACUUGAUAUUAAAGGUCCUAUCAAGAAGUAUAGGUAGCUUGAAGGAUCUAGAAUAUUUUGUCUUACUCAACUUUGAAACAUAUUGAGACUUAUUUUGAGACUUAUUGAGACAUAUUCCAUGUUAUUUAUUUUUAGUUUGGUAUGUUGUUCAUUCUAUUUGUUAUGUUGAUUUUUGUAUAUUAUUGUCUUGAGAAACAAAAGAAAAACACAAAAAAAUGUUGGUGGUUGUCGUGAUCAUGAUGGGGGCUUCCCAUCGUGGACACAAUGGCAGCCAUCGUGGUCACGACAGCGCCAUCGUGGGCCACGGUCGUGCCCUCGCCCCCGUCGUGCCCCGCCCUCGCCCACGCCCGCCAUUCGCUCCGUCGUGUCCACCAUCGUGUCCACGAUGGUAGGACACGAUGGUGGACACGAUGGCUCUCACGAGUCAUCGUGUGGUUAUUAAUAUCAUUUAAUUUCAAACUUAAAUAUGAUUAUUGACUUGUUUAAUGUAUUAUAUUAUGUUUAAAAUUAUAAUUUAGCAAUCAAGCUUGAUUUGUAAUAAAAAUUAAACGAGUUGGAGUUAUAUACAUCGAGAUCUAUGAAUAUCUACUUGAAAAAUACUUAUAACAUUUCAUGGAAUGUUAUAUAGUUGUCAUGACUCAUUUCACAAAAACACUUAAAUUAUGUGUUUUAAGACAAAAUGGUUUGAUUAACUAUGUAUAAUGUUGUUUAGAAGAUAUAUAACAUGUUCAAACUUAAAUUAGUCGAAUAUAACAUCAUAAAUUUUAAAAAUUUCAAACAAUAAUAACACACGAUCGUGUACCCGGUCGUGGACACGAUGGUGUGAUUGUGGUCACGAUCAUGGCCAUCGUGAACCACGAUCGUGCCCUCCGUUUCUCCUGCCCGAACCCAUCGCGGGCACGAUGGGUGCCUCCCAUCGUGAUCAUGAUGGGAGGUUUCCAUCGUGAUCUCGGCAAAUAACAUGGAAUAAAUCUCAAUAAGUUUCAAAGUUGGGUAACGACGGGGAAGACACGACGCGAGGGCACGAUCGUGCCCACGGUUGUGCCCACGGUGAGCUCCAUCGUGAGGUGUCAUUGUGGGCACGAUCGUGUCCACGAUGGUAGACUCACGACCAUAGGCACGAUGGCUCUCACGAGUCAUCGUGUGGUUAUUAAAAUCAUUUAAUUUUGAAUUUAAAUAUGAUUAUUGACUUGUUUAAUGUAUUAUAUUAUGUUUAAAAUCAUAAUUUAGCAAUCAAGCUUGAUUUGUAAUCAAAAUUAAACGAGUUGAGUUAUAUACAUCGAGAUCUAUGAAUAUAUACUUGGAAAAUACUUAUAACAUUUCAUGGAAUGUUAUAUAGUUGUCAUGACUCAUUUCACAAAAACACUUAAAUUAUGUGUUUUUAAGACUAAAUGGUUUCAUUAACUAUGUAUUAAAAUGUUGUUUAGAAGAUAUAUAACAUGUUCAAACUUAAAUUAGUCGAAUAUAACAUCAUAAAUUUCAAAAAUUUCAAACAAUAAUAACAUACGAUCGUGUACCUGGUGGACACGAUGGUGUGAUCGUGGUCACGAUCGUGUCCAUCGUGCCCUCCCAUCGUCGUGUCCUCCGUCCCCUCCCCCCAUCGUGUCCUCCCGUCCCCCGGCCCCGUCGUGUCCUCCGUCCCCCAUUCCCCUCGUCAUGUCCCCCGUCCCCCCCGGCCCGUCGUGCCUUCGGCCCAUCGAUGGCCGUGAUCGUGCAACGACCGUGCCCACGAUGAACAUCGACGGUCGUGCCCCCUGCCCACAAUGGACACGAUGGUCGGGGGACGGUCUUAUCGGCUGAGACAUUACCAUUGUGGGCACGACCGAGGGCACGAUCGUGCCCUCGCGUCGUGGCCUUCGCCCCCUUCCCCGUCGUCCCAUCGCUCCUCGCCCCCCAUCAUAGCCUUCGCCCCCUUCCCACCCCCAUCGCCCCUCGCCGGUCGCACCCCCUCGUUCGUGCCAUCGCCCAUCGCCCUCUUCUCCAUCGUGCGAUUGUGGGCACGACGUGGGCGACGGUCGUGCCGUCGUCGUGCCUCGUUGCCGCAGCCCCCUUCACCUCGGUCGUGCCAUCGUCGUCGCCCGUUGUGGACGCGAUGGGGGCUCCCAUCGUGGACACGAUGGUGCCGUCGUGGCCACGACCGUGGCCCACGAUGGCUGCCAUCGUGUCCACAAUAGGGGCGCCCAUCGUGAUCACGAUGGUGCCGUCAUGUCCACGACCGUGGCCCACGAGUUUAGCACAUUACUAACAUUGAGAAAACUGAAAGUUCUAAUUGUUUGUUAAAUAUAAGAUGAUUUUCUAAACACUAAUAUUUAUAUAAAUAAAUUAAAAUAUAGUAAAAUUUGGCUUAAUAUAUUUAGAACUAAUUCAUCUUGAUACGUCUGCAUAAUUUUUUUAUUUAUUCAACGUGGAAAAAUUAUCUUUUGUAUUAAAUUAAUGACAAUACAAAUUAUCUUUAUAUUAUAAACACUAAGCAUUUCUAUCAAAUAUAUGCUUUUUUAUAGCUGUAGACGAGAUGAUUCUCAAAAUUCACUUUUGAUCUUUCAAACUCUAAACGAGAUAAUGUUAAAAAGUUAGAGGUGGUCUAUCAAACUUCAUACAAGAUGUAUUCAAAACUUAAUUUUGGCUCCAAACAAUAAAUUGCUCUAAGUUAGAAGUGAUUUGCCAAACUCCAAACGAGAUGAUUCUUAUAACUAAAUUCCGAUCCUUUAAACUUCAAAUGAGAUCAUGCUUAGCACUCAUCUACAGUAUUUCAAGCUCCAAAUGAGUGAUGCUUAGAACUCAACUCCAGUCUAUCAAACCAUGGACAAGAUUAUACUUACAAAUCAGUUAUAGUCUUUCAAGCUCCACACGAAAUUAUUCUCACAAGCCAGUUAUGAUCUUACGAGUAUUUUGGUUUCAAACAAUAUGAUGCUCACAAAAUUAGCAGUGGUUUGUCAAGUUUCAAAUGAAAUGAUGUUCAUAACUUAAUUUCAACCUUUGAAGUUUCAAAUGAGAUAAUGCCUAACACUCAACUCCGGUCUUUCAAGCUCCAAAUGAGUGAUGCUUAGAACCCGGCUCAGGUCUCUCAAAAUAUAGACAAAUUUCAUAUAACAAGCUUUAGAUAAGAUAAUGAUUAGAUGUUCGACGUACAAAAGUCAAAUGUGAUAUUUCAAACCACAAACAAGAUGAUGCUCAAAGUCUUGUAAGAUUCGAGAUGACGUUCAUAUAUAAGAUGUGAUCUUAAAUUUUGUUUAUCAAUUUAUAAAAAUUAUACUCCUAUAAAAUUAGUAAAUCUUUCCUACACAUUAUAAAUAAAAAAUACGAUGUGUCAAUCCUUCAUCAUAUCAUAUGUCAAAUAUACCUAAUUUUUUUCUUCUUAUUUUUCUAAAUCUCCAACCUCACAUCAACUUUUUAUGAAAUUUCAUCAAAUAAAAAUUUAUAAAAAAANUUUCAAACCACAAACAAGAUUAUGCUCAAAGUCUUGUAAGAUUCGAGAUGACGUUCAUAUAUAAGAUGUCAUCUUUAAUUUUGUUUAUCAAUUUAUAAAAAUUAUACUCCUAUAAAAUUAGUAAAUCUUUCCUAUACAUUAUAAAUAAAAAAUACGAUGUGUCAAUCCUUCAUCAUAUCCUAUGUCAAAUAUACCUAAUUUUUUUUCUUCUUAUUUUUCUAAAUCUCCAACCUCACAUCAACUUUUUAUGAAAUUUCAUCAAAUAAAAAUUUAUAAAAAAAGACAAUCUAUUUUAACUCUCACCAAAAAUUAACUGACAAAAAUUAUUGACUAUCAUAUGCUAUAAUAAAAAAUAAUACUCCCUCCGUCCCUAAAAUAAGUUCUUCUUUUUCCUUUUUGGGACGUCCCAUAAAUAAAUUCCUCUUUCUUUCUUUCCAUUUUUGGACAACUACCCCACCACUAAUAAUACUUUAUUUAUUCUUACUUUUCACUUAUUCACCACUCCCAAUACUAAUUAUACCACUUUUUCACCUUUUCACCACUCUCAAUACUAGGGCUGUCUAAAUGGUUAUCGGGUUUUGGGUAUCCAAUUAACCGAACCGAAAUUCCCGGGUUUGGGUAUCCAAUAACCGAAAAUUUCGGGUAAUCGGUUAUUAUUUUUUUGGAAAUUUCGGUUAUCGGUUAACCCGAAAAAUCGAUCGGGUUAACCGAAUAACUGAAAUUAUUUUAUUAAUUAUUUAAUAUAUAUAUUAUCAAUAUAUCAUAUAUAAUAUAUUAUAUAUUUGUAAAUUAAUAUAUAAAUAUAUUUGUAAAUUAUUUAAUAUAUAUAUAUAUUUGUAAAUUAUUAUAUAUAUAUAUAUAUUAUAUAUAAUAUAUUUGUAAAUUAUAUUUGUAAAUUUACAUAUAUAUUAUAUAUUUGUAAAUUUACAUAUAUAUUAUAUAUUUACAAAUAUAUUAUAUUUGUAAAUUUACAUAUAUAUUAUAAUAUAUUUACAAAUAUAUUAUAUAUUUGUAAAUAUAUAUUAUAUAUUUGUAAAUUUACAUAUAUAUUAUAUAUUUGGAAAUUAUUUAAUAUAUAUAAUAUAUAUUUGUAAAUAUAUAUUAUAUAUUUGUAAUUUAUUUUAGAGUAGAUAGAGCAAAAAUUAUUUGAAUUUUAUUUUUUAAAUGGGUAUUUCGGAUACCCAAAUAACCCAAUUGGUUAACCGAAGCGGGUAUUGGGUAACUGAACUUCUAAAAUGGUUCGGGAACGGUUAUUGAAAUUUGGCAAUUUCGGGUUCGGGUAACCGAAAAUUCGGGUACGGGUAACCGAACCCGAACCGAUCGACAGCCCUACUCAAUACUAAUUAUAACAUAUUUUUCUCUACUAUCAAUACACUUUACAAUUUUUUCUUAAACCGUCUCCAAAGAGAAACUUAUUUUGGGGACGGAGGGAGUAUACAAUAAUAGUUACUCCCUCUGUCCCUAAAAUUUGUGGACCAAAAGAGAUGGCAUGAGUUUUAAGAUAAAGUAUGAUAGUUAUGUUUAAAUAGAGAUUGAGUUCCACACUUUUUUAUAAAUAAUGAGAGGAAAAUUUUGUGGGGUCAUUUCCAAAUAAAAAAAGACCACAUUUUUCAAGGGCGUCUCAAUAUAAUAAUAAAACCACAAUUUUUAAGAACGAAGAAAAUACAGUAUAAAGUGGUUCCCCGUCGAAUUUCGACGGGUUAAUAUUUUUAUUAAGUGACCUGCAGCGGUGGUGGUGUGUAAAUUUUUUAAAUUAAAUUGGUAAAGCAUAAAAAAGUUUCAAUGUGACCAAGAGAAAGAAGUACAUAUUUAAAUAUUUAAUAGAUGCAAUUAAGAUAAAGAUAAUAGAUGAGAAAUAUUUGAAAAAUAGGAUCUUUGAAUUUCUUAUUUUUAUAAAGUAAUUCAUCUUUUUUUAAAUAAUUAAAUCUUAUAGUUAAUACCAAUAUAAAAAUAAAAUUAAAUGAAUUAAAAAUCAGCCAAAAGGCAAUUCUCGACAAACGUGCAACUAUAGUUUGAAAAAGUAACUAAGGUAGAGCCAAUUUCUUUAUUAAAUAAAAUGUUUUAUUGAAAUUAAAAAUAUUUGCCACAUGGCAAGAUCUCAACGGCGAGCUGCAUUAAAGCAGUGGCACGAUAGAAGCACCCCAUUGGGGGAAGUAAUAUAGUACUCCAUACUUCAUCUAAAAAGACAAGACAAAAGUCAUACCGCAUGGGCCCAUACCCCACCUUUGAUUGCGAAGGUACUUUUUGGUUAGGAUUUUUGAUGGAAUAUUAACAAAUCUAAAUAUUUUAUUAUUUAAAGCUUAAUUAACAAUCAAAUUAAUCAAUAUAAACAUGAAUAAUCAAAUUAGUUCAGCAAGUGAUACGGAGCCACCUUUGGGCCUCCUAAUUUUUUUUUUUAAUUUUGUAAAAAAAAAUUAGUAAUGUUAUUUUAUUAUAUAUACAGUAUAAGUACAUAAAGUAGGAGGAUUUGUUGUUAAAAAAUUCCACAUAAAAUUUAUAUGUAUUUCAGAUUUUUUUUAAUCUAUAUUUAUAUGUAAUAAUUUUAUAUUUCAAAUAUUAUUUUUGAAAAAAUUCACAUAUAUAUAUACUUCAAUUUGAAUUUUUUAAAUAAAUAAAGUAAUCCACAUCAAUUACUCAAUAAAGAACUUGACUCUAAAAACACAUAAAUUUUUAAUUUUAUAUAAAAUGUAAUGAUAACUAUUGUUAUUAAACAAUUUAAAUAUUUUAUAAACAAUAGUAAAAUUAUAUUUAAAUGUUAACCAGAUAUAAUACUUAGGUGUUAUAUUUAUAUGUUCAAUAUUUACGUGACUUCAAAUCACUUAGUUUUUAUGAAAAAUAUGUAUUGUAAAGAUUUUCAUAAUGGCAUAUAACAUAGUUGAGUUAUGAUUUUUUUUUUUUCUAAAGUGUCAUUUUUAAUUUUUCUCCUAUAUGAAGAAAACCUUUUUUUUUCAUAAAUAAUAGAAGAAACACAUCAUUAAUGUUGAAGGGGAUGAGUAAAAACAUGUUCACAUUAAAAUAUGUCAUUUUAAAAAAAUUGAGCUAAUCGUGUAUAAAAUUAUUUUUUUUAAGACUAGCUCAUUAAUUAACUAUGUUUUCUUAUUAGUGAAGUUUAAAUUGGCCAGUAGGAAAACAAAUCAUAUUAUUACAACUUUUAAAAAUACUAAUAAAAAAUAAAGUAAGUGUUAUAUACCGAAAAAUGAACUCCAACAAAAUUAGAAUAAAAUAUUUAGAUUAAUUUAAGUGUUAUCCCGAAACAUAUAUACUUAUUUAAUUACGUAUAUAAUUUUAAUUUUUUCCUAAAAAAUCAAAUUUUAUAAAAUUUAAUUGAAUAUAAUUUUGAAUAUGUAAACGUAUAUUUAUCAUUAUUUGUGAAAUAUAAAAAUUAUUUGAUAAUGACGAUUAAUACAAAUUUUACUAUUAAAUAUAAUUUUUUUUAAAUUCUAAAGAUUUAUAAAAUGAACCAAUAUAAAACACAAAACUCAAUAUCUAAUUAUUUUCCUUUUGAAAAACACAAAAAUCAAAAGUACAUAAAAAUAUAAAAAAAACAAUAAAAUUUAUAAAUAACGAUUUUACUACUGUUCUCAUAACAAAAAUGUACAGCAAUACAUGUUAACUAUCCACAUGUAUCUAUAUAUAUAAAUAUAAUUUAUCAAAAUAAUUGAUUAUCUGUCUCAAUGGAGACUCGAAAAUUACAUAUCAAAUAUUUUAUUAACUAAAGUGCACGAUUUUUAGGAAAGAAAAAAAAGAUAAUAAAAAGAAAAGAAAGGGAAAAAAUUGUUAAAUGAAAAGAAAGAGAGUAUUUGAUUUGAUUUAUAUUGUAAACUUCACAUUAUACAUUUUUUCAAAAGGAAUAUGCAUUCAAAUACAUAUUAGCAAGAAGUAAUUGUCGGUACCAUCUAAAAAACAUAAUUUAUGACCAUUUUUAUAAUUUUGGUCAAAAAUAUCCUUGACCCCGCGGAUCCUACUCUCCCAGUCCAACCACGUACAGUGUUCUCUCUCUGUCUCUCUCCCCCCGCUCUUGGCACAAAUAGUAUAAUUAUGUCAAAUGUACCUAAUGAAUGACACAAUUGUCACGAAUUUACCCAUUUGUACCAAAUGUGUCAUCAUUCAAUCUUCAGUCACAUUUGACACAAAUGUGCAUAAUUGUGUCUAGUAUGUACUUAAUGAAUGCCACAAUUGGCCUGAAUUACCAUUUGUACCAACUGUACCAUCAUACUGCGUGCCCAACUCGAAGCCCAACCCACACGCAAACCCGAACGCGCUCCUAACUAAGGGCAAAACAGUCCUAAAACGUAAAAAUUGGUCAAAAUUUUUGUUUUUCAGAUGGGAGACCAAAUAUUGAGUUUCAUUGUUCAAUAUGACCAUCUCACAAGUUUACUCUUUUCAAAAUUGACAUUGAAAUUAAUUUCAAAUUAAAAUCUUGACUUUUUAAUAUAUUAUACUAGAAUUGAAGGUUUUAUCGUAUAUUAUAUUUUAUAUUUUUUUUUCCUCUUUCUUAUGUAUCCAUGAAUUGCAUAUUUUUAUAUUUAUUUUAUUUUUGUUCAUCUUUUUAUUAUUUUUUCUUUUUAAACUUGUGAAAUUCGCCCAAUUUUAAUAUAUUUGAUAUCAUAUCAAAUUAAAGAUUAAAGUUCACGACAAGAAAUUUAAUUUGAUAUAUUUUAUGUAGAUAAUGAAUUUAAGAUUUAAAUACAUGAGGACUAGUUUUUUAUGGAAACUUUUUUGCAGAUGUAUCAAACUUCAAACCUUUGCAAAAUAACAAAAGUCAUACCCCAUACCCCAUACCCCACACCCCACACCUUUGAUUGCGAAGAUACCUUUUUCUUUAGUUUUUUGGGAAACCAUCUUCACUCCAUUUUAGCAUUUUUCUUUUUUUGACUUUUAGCUAUGAUUUGAGAAAACCGUUAACAAUAGAUUCGAGGGCGGUUAAUUAGGAAGAUUAGUUUUGAUAGAUAAAAAAAGUAAAAUUCAUUCUAUUAUUUACUUUGAUGGAUUAUAAUUUUGAAAUAUCCCAAGACCUUAAUUUGAUUAUUUCUAUUAUUCAAAUUAUUUUUAUUUGAUUCAUUUUUCAUAAAAAUAGUUAAUCAUUCACAUAAUCAAUACAUGCUAAAGUUGGCCCAUAAAAUUCAGGUUCAUUUGAAUCCCGCGCAUGACAAAUGAAAAUUUAAAAUGCCUAAUUCUUUCUUUAUUUUUAUUAAUUGAGUUAAUUUUUCUUUAUUUUUAUUUUGUUAACAUAAUUUAUUCUUUCUUACAUUUAAGAAAAUUGGCUUAUUUCCCUCCAAAAAAAGAAAAAAAGAAAAUUGACUGAUUUUAAAAUAUCCAACACACCUAUAAAUUAAAGAUCUUGUUGAAGAUGUCAGAGGAGAGAGACUGUGUUAUCGUUAGGAACUUAGGAUUGAAAACUUGCUUCAUCAUUUGUCUAUACUUCUUUCACUCCCAAUGCCUAUCGAAGCUAAAGUAGAUCAACAUCUAAGGCUGGAGGAAAACAACUUUAAUUUGGUGUUGCACUCAAACAAAGUAAUUUUUCCAAGAACUUUCCUACAAGAGAACUCAAUUUUUUUUAAUCAAUAGUUCAUUUUUAGGGUGUGCUCAAUUUGAUAGAUAAAUUUAUCAUGGGAAAAUAAAGUAUAACAAAAAUUUAUGUCUUUAAAAAGUCUUUUUUUUUUUUUCAGAAGUUCACCAUUUUUUCUUUCUUAUUUUCACUUCAAAGAGAGACAACAUUAUCUCUCGAUCUUGGUGUGGUAAUAUUAUCCAUUUUAAAGUGAAAAUAAGGAAGAAAAGGUAGAGAACUUGAUCUCUUUUGUGUAAAAUAUGGGAAAAGAAAUGAGACAUUUAAAAUUAUAAAUUUUGGUCAUUAAUUCUUUAUUUUUCCAUGAUAAAUUUAUCCAUGUGAACGUACCCUUAGGGUUAAUUAAUUCAUCGUAACUAAAUUCCAUUCCUAGCGGUAAGAGGGGAUUUAGGCCAUAUAUAUAUGCACUUGUAGGAAACCAACAUGAAAUUUCCAUUUCUUAAUUUGCCAAUGCCGACUAGUAGGAAAGCAACAUGAAAUUUCCAUUUCUUAAUUUGCCAAUGCCGAUUUACAAUUUUUUUUUUCUUUUUCUCUAAUAAAAAGAAAUUAAAAUAGGAUGAAAUAGAACUAUAAAUAUACAAUUAAUCGAAGAAAUUAAUCAAAACCAAGUCUGUCUUUUCCUUCAUCCAUCAUGUUUCCGCACAUCUCUCUCCACAAUUCCGCCCCUUUGAAGUUGCUGAUUUUCUCUCUCAUCCUCUCUUCCUCUCUCACCAAAACUACCUCCGUCGCCGCCGUGCCGGGCUGCCAUGGAAAGUGCCUCGACUCCAACAUCCCUUACCUGUUGGGGAUGUUCGUGCUGGUUUCCCUCGUAAUUGGGAGCACUUGGAUCGUCUGGUCGAAGCGGCAAAAGAAGCUCGAGCACCAUAGAAUGAGCUUGUUCGAUAGAAAUGGCGGAAACAUAUUGAAGAAGAAGCUAUCCCAGCGCAAGAGAUCUGCGCACCUCAAAAUAUACACAGCUCGGGAAAUGGAGAUCGCCACCAACAAUUACAGCGACACCAGAUCGGUAAUGCAGAGGUGCAAGCCGGGGAAAUUCUACCGCGGAACCUUCGAGAACAAUCGAGAGGCCGUCGUGAUGAAGCUUCCGUCGCCGGUGCCGCAGUCGAGAAUCGAACAGUUCGUCGACGAGGUGAUCUUCCUCUCCGAGGCCCACGGGAAUCUGGUUAGGGUUUUGGGCUGCUGUUUGGAGACGAGCUCUCCCUUGGUAGUUUACGAGCUCCACGGCGACGGCAACCGCACCCUCGCCGACUGCUGCACGCGCGGCGGCGCGUGCGCUGGCAUCCUCCGGGCGGCGGUGAGGGGGCUCGCCGACCUGCGGUCGCGGAAUGCGAGGGCGGCGGGGUUCCUCCACGGCAACUUCUGCGGCGGCAACGUUUUGUUGGAUGAUUCUUUUGAUGCGAAGCUGUUCUACGCCGCCGCCUCCGGCAACCUCGUCGCUGAUCGAGAUCGUGUUGGUUUCGAUGACAAGGACGUGUGUAGCUUCGGAGCAGUGCUGGAUGAGCUGCUGUCGACGCGUCGGAGGGCGCCGGAGAGUGACGGGGAUCUCGCCACGUGGCUGCUGUCGGAAGAUUCGGAAGUAGUUUAUGUGAAGGAGGUUGCCGCCAUGGCUGCGAGAUGCAAGAGUGUGCUGCCGGAGGAGAGGCCUACCUUGUCUGAAUUGGAAGCUACGCUUAGUAGAUUGAUUGGAAAUUUAUAGAGCACAACUAGUUGCUAAUACGUUUCUGUUAUGCUAUUUUGUAGCCUUAAAUCAUAUUUGACUAUUUGUAAGCAUUGAUUCCAUCGUGUACAGUUUUAAAUAGAGAAUCAGAUCUGAUCAAUGAAAAACAGUUUCCAUUUCCACUUUUCAUAUUCUUAUUCUCUCAUGGCUACUGUUCAGCCAUAUUUCCCCUCGAUCCACCUAAAGAUUUGAGGAUGUGCUUCUUCUCCCAAUAUCGCUCCGCUGCAAUUCAAAAUUCGGACUUUGAUAUGGCUACGUUAUGAUCAAUUUAUUUUCAGUUGGAUUCUUGCUGCGAUCUCUCAUUCAAUGAUCGGAUAAAAAUAAUUUGAAUAAUAGAAAUAAUCAAAUUCAAAUUCAACUCCAGACGCUAGUGAUGAUUAUAUUUUGAAAUUUCGAGGCAUUUCUGAUCAGUUAUCCAAUAUUGGUCAACAAAUUGCAGAAACUGAUUUUUAAAUACCCAUGUCCCAAAGAAAUAAGACAUUUAUAAUUGAAGUAAUAUUUUAUUUUAAAAUAAAUAUUAAUUCAAUAAAGAAACUAAUAUUAGGAGACAAAUGAUUGGACAAAGAGUUGGGACAUCUGAUUCUAACGAUAGGACAAUAAAGAAACUAAUAUUAGGAGACAAAUGAUAGGACAAAGAGUCGGGACAUCUGAUUCUAACGAGUUUCCUGAGGGUUAUAGGGUUUAGGAGUGAGAGGAUUUUUUAGGACAGUAACUUAUGUUAAUUUGGAAAUUAGGACAAAAACUUUUUGACUUGUAAAAUUUUUUUAGAGUAAAAUAAGACACUAAUUAAUAAGCGUCGUAAAAAUAAGACAUUUCUCGGCCGAGAAUUGGUCUGACAAAUGUCCUGCGGGUGCAACACUUAUUAAUUAGUGUCAUAUUUUACUCUAAAAAAAUUAGUGUCCUAUUUUUAUAAGUCCGAAUGUUUUUGUCCUAAUUUUCAAAUCAACCUAAGUUACUGUCCUAAAAAACUCUCGAACUCCUAGGGUUUAGUACAGUACGUAUAAAAGUAUAAUAGCACAUCUAUUAUUAUUUUUAGGGGUAUUAGCCUAUAAAUAUCCGAACUUUUUCUAUUUUCUGAUUUUGCACCCUAACUUUAAAAUUUGCCUGAAAAUACCCGAACUUUAUAUUCUUUCUGAUUUUGCACCCAACGAAUUUUCACCCCCAAAUCGUUAAUAAAAUGGCAGUCGGAUUGAGAGGCAAGUUUGAAUUUCAUAACGAAACAAAUAAGUUUAUUGUCAAUUUGAGAUCUAAAACAUGUAAUUGUAGAUUUGAGAUGUCAAUCCGGCUAUCAUGUUAGCAACAAUUUCGAGGUAAAAUUCGUUGGGUGCAAAAUAAAAAAGAAUACAAUGUUCGAGUAUUUACAGAAAAUUUUUAAAGUUCGGAUGCAAAAUAAGAAAAUGGAAAAAGUUCGGGUAUUUAUAGACCAAUACCCUUUAUUUUUAUAUGAAAGGCGAUGGUAAAAAGAAUUACUAGUAACUACUCCCUCCGUCCCACUCCAAUAUGCUCGUUUUCCUUUUUGGGACGUCUCACUCCAAUAGGCCUAGUCUAAAAUUAGAAAUAAUUAGGGCUCUAAUUAAAAUUAUAACUAGUUACUUAAAGGGGAUAUACACCCCUAAUUAAAACCCUAAAAACUCUCAUUCACGUUUUCCUCCCACCUCUGCUCAAAAUUCUUUGUCGCCACUUCCCAAAAUUUGGCGACUGGUCGCGCCUCAACGGCUCUGAAACUCCGGCCUCUUUUCUCAUUCGGCCCUCUUCCCGAUUCUCCAGAAAUUGCCCACCGGAACAAGCCCUAACUCUAGUAACCUCAAGUGGAACUCAAUUUGGAGCCCUAACUCUCCCCUCUUCCUCAAUCUCAACGGAAACACACAAUUGUGGGAAAAAUGUCGAGCCCCAACUUCUCCGAUCGAGCCUCUCUCUUUCUUCCUCUUGGUUCAGGCAAAGUCGCCUCUGUAACUUCGGACGAAGUCGACGCCGCUCUUCGGCCUGUGAAAUUGUGAAAUUCGCCUCAAUAAUUUAACCUCUUAUUUUUCUAUUUUAUUUCUUUUUUAAAAUUGUGAAAUUCGACUAAUUAUAAAAUAUUUGAUAUGUAUAUCAAAUUAAAGAUCAUGACAAGAGCUUUAACUUGGUAUAAGUUAUGUAAAUAUUGGAUUUAAAAUAUAAAAAUUAUAUUUAUUUAAAAAUUAAAACUUAAGAAAUUUCUCCCCUCCUCCUCCUCCUCUUUUUUUUUUGAAUAAUCUAUUUUUUUUCAAUUUUUUAACUUAUAUUUUUUCUUUUUUACAAUAUCAAUUUUUAUAAUAUGAAUUAUUCUUUAUUAUUUUUAUAUUAAACUAAAUUAUUAUCUUAAAUUAUAGUAUUUUUAAUUAUAUUUAGAUUUUAUAUAAUAAUCAAAUUAAUAUAAAUUUUAAAUAUAAUAAAAUAUAAAAAUAUUUUUCGUGCGUUGCACGAGUGUAAAUGCUAGUUAAUAUAUAUUUUAAAAUUUGAAUUGAUAUAAAAGUAAAUCCAGCAGCCAAAAGGAGUGAAGUGAUCCAAGCUAAUUCGAAAAUCGAUUCGAGAGAAAUGCGAACUUAAUUUCGAAAUACUCGAAGUAAAUCUGAAAAUUUAUCGAAUCGAGCUCGAACUCAAGAUCAAACUAUAUUUGACAUUUGAAAAAUAAGGAGGCACGAUAGAACAUACAACACCAUGUAAUUAAUUAUUUGGUACACGAAUUUAUUUAAUUAAACGCUUAGAGCAUUACUAUAUAACAAUAACAAGAUCAAUGAGAAAGCCUCCGUCAAAAGAAACAUCUCAACAAACUCAUCCAGCAAAAAAUGCAAUAAAAUUGUUUUAAAAAUGGAUAAUUUUCCAAAAAUUCAUCAUCUUUGAGACAACUUUGUUGACACUAUAUUUAAAAACAUUCCAAUAAUAAAAACAAAAUAAAAAAAGCCAAUAUUCAUUAGUAUUUAUUAAGAUUAAGAUAUACAUGCAAGCUAAAACACACAACAUGUUAAUUUACAUUGCAGAUAAGAGCAACCAUUUCUUGUAAGAAAGCAUAGAAACAACUGUAUGAAAAAUGGUUAGUAUGAGAAGCACAGCAGCUGAUAUCUUCAAGUAAUUCCUCCUCACUCUUGCCAUCCAUCUCCCACGUCGAAGCCGUUUGCAUCUGUUCAAACUCUCAAACACAUUUGAAUAGCAAAAAUCUGAUGAUGAACCACAACAUUCUUCCCCAAUCUGUUGAACAUGCUGCAGAUCAUCUCAUCACUGCCUAUGAAGUUGCUGAUGACCCCACUUCGUCGUAGUAUCUCAACAUCUUUGGUGGAUCUGAUGAAACAAUGUAUGAAAAACAAGUAAUCUUUCACAUACCUCGGAUGAUCAUCAGGGAAGAAGCAGAGCUCGUACGCGAUCAAGUUCCUCAACAUGGACUCAGUCUUAUCUGAUAUGCACAAUGUGGGAGUUUAUGACUCCAUUGGCAAAACUGAUAUCCUUAGAGUGAUCCUCUCGACCCGUGUAGCCUAAUCCCGGCCUCCUCCAUCUCCGAGGCAGAGCACGUGUUGUGCACCGUGUUGCUACCGUUGUUUUCAGUGAAGCACUUGGCUGAGAAUGAGAAUGAGAAGAAAGAAUCAUACACUAGGCCUAAUAUAUGCUCAGCAUUGUGCAACAUUUCUGAACUAUAGUCGAGCUUUGAGGAAUCCGGCCAUGGGAGCACGUCUCCGGCUAGAAAGAGGAGGAGAUGGUGUAUGUUAUCGUCUGGAUGUUCCAUCCUUGUCAUGUCGAAAAGCUCGUUCAACACGAAGAAAGGGAGCUGGUUCUCCAACAACAGAAGAUCAUGCCUUAUUUGGACUAACAUGUGAUCAAAUUGAAAUAUUUGAUCACUCAUGUCUCUCAAAUCACUAAACCAAUAGCUUCUCAGCAGCUCAAUCACGAAGCAUCCAUCAAGAAGCAACAUCUCCACGAACUCAUCUUGAUCAAGACUGAUUGAUUUCGCGUAGUAAAGGCGAGCCUUUUCCUCCAUGCUCCUCACUUCCAACACACAUUUCUCAACACUCAACUCAUCCCUUCUUCCUAAUGUUUUUCUUAGAUACCUCAGCUUGUGCUGCUCCAUGGCCUUAACGCGAUCUUUCCCACGAUGGAUUGGGCCUAUAGAGACUAAUUCGGGUUCAAAAUCCUUUUCAUUUACUUGCCUCAGGUGUUGAUCUACUUUGGCUAUGAUAGGCUUUGAGGGAGUGAGAGAAGUAGACAAAUGAUGAAGCAAGUUUUCAAUCCUAACAACAACACAGUCUCUCUCCUCUGUCAUCUUCAAGAAUUAAGCCAAGAAACCAGAAAAUAUAUAUGCUACAAAAGAAGAAAACACCAUAAAAAUAUUAAACAUGUAGCAAUCUACAUAGGUUCAUUUGUUAUUGAAACUUACAAGAUAAACAAAAUGUAGAGCAUACUUACUAGAUUAUCACCAGGGAAUUUGAGUGGCUGAAACACGAACAAAGUUGUACAUUGCAGCUGAUUUCUUCGUGUUAUUUUCUUUUUAAAGAACUUUUUUCAUUAUUGUAUUGACAAAAUGAGUGUUCGGUGCAACCAAACAGAAAUUAUUGUAUUUUAAUUAAGGUAAAUUUCCAGGAACUUCACUGUGAAAGACUUCUUGCUUAAGAAAGUUCAUGCGAAAUUUCAUAGUGAAUGUGCAUUCGGUUCGGACCGAACCGAAUCGGACCCAACCGCUGAGAUCGAAAACCGUGAAGAGAGUGAAGCUAGAACCGACCCGGACCGACAAGAUUAUAAAAACCGACCAAAUCUGGCAGUCUCCAAAAAUGCCCGUUUUCGCCGGCUGUGCCACCCAGAAUCCAAACCAAACCGAUAAAAACCGACCUAUUCCAAAUUUCAUUAGAAAGAUAACAUCAAGAGUUUUACAACAGUUGCUUAGGAUUGUCCAUCAAAAUUCAGACAAUCAAAUUAUUGGCCAACAAACUUCUAGAGUUACGUCAAAUUCAAAAUAUUAAAAGUUUAUGUAUUUUUUGACCAAAAAAUAGAUAUGGUAUGAACCAAAAUUCGGGUAUAACUUGUGUAUUUAUAGGAAAAUUAACCCUUAAAAUUAUAAAUUGAAAUAUUAUAAACUAGCGAUUAACCUAGACUAUCAACGGUUCGAUCCGACGGUUAAUCGUCGAUUCAAGGUUCACAAAAUCCAAGCCCUUAAUUAAUCAGACUAUUCAGAGCGAUUCCGAUUCCGAUUCUGACCCAUGACCAAUGCUUGGGGGACCUAGACAACACUAAUUGCAAGCCUUGGCAAUUUGUUAUUUAUCAUUCAAUACACAUUUGUCAUGCAACUUGACUGGUUCUAAGUCUUUUUAGUCUUCUCUUGAGGUUUUUCAUUUUUUGCCUCAGUUGACUUGAACUUGAACAAGAUGAAGUCUUCUUUUAAGCCAUGGCUGAAAUCACAAUGUCAUAACUUCUUUUAUCCAAACAAUCUUUAUGCUUCAAAGGUACAACACCUCAAAGCUGAGAUCUGUACCAAAACACCAAAGGCCUUAAUGCACAGGAAAUUACAUUUCUCAUGCAUAGAAACUUCUUGGUAGUUUUGAACACAAAAUCUCAAAACUCUGGUUAAAUUGUUCAACUCUUCACCUUCCCUUAAACUGAUUUUAACUAUAAAUCUAGAUCAACACCAAGAAUGUAAAGAAACAGCAAACACAUUGAGUCUUUUUCCCCUCCAUCUCAACUUUGAUCAAUAGUAUGUAUGCUACCUGUUUUCCAUUCUUGAAUUCUUGAUCAAAUUAUGACUAUUUAUCCAAAUAAUCUAAUCUUACAUGUUUAAUUCUUGAAUGUUCACAGAUGUCAAAUGGAGAAGAUAGUGUGGCUGUUGCAAUCCAAGGUUUGAUCAAGAAUUUGAGCAACACUACUCAACCUAAGCCCAAAAUAUUCCAAGUGGAUGAUCGCUUGCGCAAGGUGAAUGCAAAGGAUUAUGAGCCGAGGAUCGUGGCUCUCGGCCCCAUCCAUCGAGGGAAACCUCAUCUCGAGGCGAUGGAGCAGCACAAGCUGAGGUAUCUGCAGCAACUUCUGCAGAGAAGAGAUGAUCUCACCAUAGAAAAACUGGUCCAAAAAGUGAGAGAAAUGGAAGAAAUUGCCCUCCAAUGCUACUCAACACCUCUCAAUGUUGAUGCAGAUGAGUUUGUGAGAAUGCUGCUUCUUGAUGGCUGCUUCCUCAUCGAGCUCGUGAGAAGGCACAAGCACGUCUUCGAGGUCUCGACAGAGAAAGACCCCGUCUUCGAGCCCAAGACACUCAGCCAGAUCACUCAUGACCUGAUGCUAUUUGAGAACCAGCUCCCUUUCUCCAUCUUGAACCACCUCUUCAACAUGAUCAAAACAGAGCAUCCGGACGAGAAUCUGCACGACCUCGUCCUGUUCUUGGUCAACGACACGUUCCCUUGGUCGAACGCCCUAAAACUCGAUCCAGCAUCAGACGAGAACCACCACCUCCACCCUGACCAGGAUCAUCUAUUAGGCCUAAUCUACCAAUCUUUCACUCCAUUUUCAACUCAAACUCUUUCUACAACUAAAGAUAGGAACUCAUUAGCCCACAUAAACUCUGCCUCGGAGCUGAAGGAGGCCGGCAUUCGCCUCAAACGGUCUAAACAAAACCUCCUCACUUUCAAAGCCAGAGUCCUCAAAUUCCCACCUCUGCAAGUCUCAGGCGAGACAGAGUCCCUUCUGAGGAACUUGAUGGCCUACGAGCAGCUCUGCCUCGAUGAUGAUCACCCAAAACACGUCACAGACUACGCGUUCUUCAUGCAUUGCCUCAUCAGAUCAACAAAAGACAUUGAGAUACUGCGAUGCAGUGGGAUCAUUAGCAACUUCCUAGGAGGUGACGACAACAUCUGCCUAAUGUUUAACAGAUUGGGGACAAACUUCCUCAUCAGAUCAUCAGAUUUUUGUUACUCUGAUGUCUUUGUGAGCUUGAACAAGCAUUGUGGCCGCCGGCACAACAAAUGGAUGGCGAAAUUGAGGCGAAACUACUUCAAUAGUCCGUGGUCCGUGAUCAAGUUCGUUGCUGCUGCAGUGCUGCUGCUGCUCACCUUAACACAAACUGUUUUUGCUGUACUUGCUUAUAAGCAUAGGGAUGAUGUGAUGAGAGUGCGUUCGAUUUCAAUGUGAUUCAACUAUGUAUGUAUGUAGGGAGAAAAUCAUUUGUAAUCAUAUCAUCUGUUUAUCUAAUGUAAAACUUUAUCUUCCUUCAAAGCCAAAUACACUGCAACAGUUUCUAGUGAUGUUGAAUCAUGAUGCAUCAAAUUUUUGAAUGAAGAUAAAUUUCUAAAUUUUUGAAGCUAAAAAAAUGGAUGAAUGGUACAAUUAUUACAAAAUUGAUAGUUCAAGGUUUAAAAAAUCAUUUUCGUUAGUUCAGGAUAUACUUGACAGUGCGAAAAUAGUUUGAGGUUUUAAAUGAUAUUUAUCCUAAAAGAUUUCAGUAAAAAAUCUCUUCAAAAAUUUCCAGAGCUCAAAAGCAAGCAUAACUUAAUUAGCUGAAUGAUGCAGCCAAGUCUCAGACAAUAAAACUUAUUUAUGAGAAAUUUCCAUUUCUUAAUUUUGCCAAAUGCCAACUAGUAGGAAAGCAACAUGAAAAUUUCAUCUCAACGCGUACGUAUUCAAUUUUACAACUUUUUUUUCUUUUUCUCUAAUAAAAAGAAAUUAAAAUAGGAUGAAAUAUAACUAUAAAUAUACAAUUAAUCGAAGAAAUUAAUCAAAACAAAGUCUGUCUUUUCCUUCAUCCAUCAUGUUUCCGCACAUCUCUCUCCACAAUUCAGCCCCUUCUUGCUGAUUUUCUCUCUCAUCCUCUCUUCCUCUCUCACCAAAACUACCUCCGUCGCCGUGCCGGGCUGCCAUGGAAAGUGCAUCGUUCGUGCUGGUUUCCCUCGUAAUUGGGAGCACUUGGAUCGUCUGGUCGAAGCGGCAAAAGAAGCUCGAGCACCAUAGAAUGAGCUUGUUCGAUAGAAAUGGCGGAAACAUAUUGAAGAAGAAGCUAUCCAAGCGCAAGAGAUCUGCGCACCUCAAAAUAUACACAGCUCGGGAAAUGGAGAUCGCCACCAACAAUUACAGCGACACCAGAUCGGUAAUGCAGAGGUGCAAGCCGGGGAAAUUCUACCGCGGAACCUUCGAGAAUAAUCGACAGGCCGCCGUGAUGAAGAUUCCGGCGAUGGUGCCGUCGAAAAUCGAGCAGUUCGUCGACGAGGUGAUCUUCCUCUCCGGGGCCCAAGGGAAUCUGGUUAGGGUUUUGGGCUGCUGUUUGGAGACGAGCUCUCCCUUGGUAGUUUACGAGCUCCACGGCGACGGCAACCGCACCCUCGCCGACUGCUGCACGCGCGGCGGCGCGUGCGCUGGCAUCCUCCGGGCGGCGGUGAGGGGGCUCGCCGACCUGCGGUCGCGGAAUGCGAGGUUCCUCCACGGCAACUUCUGCGGCGGCAACGUUUUGUUGGAUGAUUCUUUUGAUGCGAAGCUGUUCUACGCCGCCGCCUCCGGCAACCUCGUCGUUGAUCAUCGAGAUCGCGGUGGUUUCGAUGACAAGGACGUGUGUAGCUUUGGAGCAGUGCUGGAUGAGCUGCUGUCGACGCGUCGGAGGGCGCCGGAGAGUGACGGGGAUCUCGCCACGUGGCUGCUGUCGGAAGAUUCGGAAGUAGUUUAUGUGAAGGAGGUUGCCGCCAUGGCUGCGAGAUGCAAGAGUGUACGGCCGGAGGAGAGGCCUACCUUGUCUGAAUUGGAAUCUACGCUUAGUAGAUUGAUUGGAAAUUUAUAGAGCACAACUAGUUGCUAAUACGUUUCUGCUAUGCUAUUUUUGUAGCCUUAAAUCAUAUUUGUAAGCAUUGAUUCCAUCGUGUACAGUUUAAAGCUCGAUCUGUGCAGCUUCAAAUUCAACUCCAGACCUAAAGAAGGGAGAUCUCUCUAUUGAUGAUUAUAUUUUGAAAUUUCAUGGCAUUUCUGAUCAGUUAUCCAAUAUUGGUUGUUUAUAGAUUAAUGUGAUUUAUGCUUUGUUUAUCUUUUCG
This 30137-nucleotide long non-coding RNA is filed under the name Salvia miltiorrhiza (redroot sage). RNAcentral's name for it is "long non-coding RNA (SMIL_LNC007106)". The record is from RNAcentral. Lineage: Eukaryota; Viridiplantae; Streptophyta; Magnoliopsida; Lamiales; Lamiaceae.